This 391-nucleotide unclassified non-coding RNA is filed under the name soil metagenome. RNAcentral's name for it is "partial contains 5.8S ribosomal RNA, internal transcribed spacer 2, and large subunit ribosomal RNA". The stretch from base 1 to 122 matches the Rfam family "5.8S ribosomal RNA", at positions 35 to 154 of the family's 154-position model. The record is from RNAcentral.
GUUGAAGAACGUAGCGAAAUGCGAUACUUGGUGUGAAUUGCAGAAUCCCGUGAACCAUCGAGUCCUUGAACGCAAGUUGCGCCCGAAGCCAUUAGGCCGAGGGCACGCCUGCCUGGGCGUCACACGUCGUUGCCCCCCCAUCUACUCCUUCGGGAUUGCGGGGGGCGGAUGAUGGCCUCUCGUGCGCCUCGUCGCGCGGUUGGCCUAAAUGCCAAGUCCUCGGCGACGCACGCCACGACAAUCGGUGGUUGCGAAACCUCGGUUGCCUGUCGUGUGCGGUCGUCGCGCAUCGAGGGCUCGAAAAAAUUGCCGGGCUUCGGCUCGACUUUCAACGCGACCCCAGGUCAGGCGGGGUUACCCGCUGAAUUUAAGCAUAUCAAUAAGCGGAGGA